CCUACGGGAGGCAGCAGUGGGGAAUUUUGGACAAUGGGCGCAAGCCUGAUCCAGCAAUGCCGCGUGAGUGAAGAAGGCCUUCGGGUUGUAAAGCUCUUUUGUCAGGGAAGAAACGGUGGUUCCUAAUACGGACUACUAAUGACGGUACCUGAAGAAUAAGCACCGGCUAACUACGUGCCAGCAGCCGCGGUAAUACGUAGGGUGCAAGCGUUAAUCGGAAUUACUGGGCGUAAAGCGUGCGCAGGCGGUUAUAUAAGUCAGAUGUGAAAUCCCCGGGCUCAACCUGGGAACUGCAUUUGAGACUGUAUGGCUAGAGUGUGUCAGAGGGGGGUAGAAUUCCACGUGUAGCAGUGAAAUGCGUAGAUAUGUGGAGGAAUACCGAUGGCGAAGGCAGCCCCCUGGGAUAACACUGACGCUCAUGCACGAAAGCGUGGGGAGCAAACAGGAUUAGAUACCCUGGUAGUCCACGCCCUAAACGAUGUCUACUAGUUGUCGGGACUUAAUUGUCUUGGUAACGCAGCUAACGCGUGAAGUAGACCGCCUGGGGAGUACGGUCGCAAGNUUAAAACUUAAAGGAAUUGACGG
RNAcentral lists this ribosomal RNA (585 nucleotides) under uncultured bacterium. RNAcentral's name for it is "bacterial SSU rRNA". It matches the Rfam family "Bacterial small subunit ribosomal RNA", at positions 338 to 916 of the family's 1533-position model. The record is from RNAcentral.